GUCCUUAGUUACCAGCACGUUAUGGUGGGCGACUCUAAGGAGACUGCCGGGUGACAAACCGGAGGAAGGUGGGGAUGACGUCAAGUCAUCAUGGCCCUUACGGCCUGGGCUACACACGUGCUACAAUGGUCGGUACAAAGGGUUGCCAAGCCGCGAGGUGGAGCUAAUCCCAUAAAACCGAUCGUAGUCCGGAUCGCAGUCUGCAACUCGACUGCGUGAAGUCGGAAUCGCUAGUAAUCGUGAAUCAGAAUGUCACGGUGAAUACGUUCCCGGGCCUU
Molecule: ribosomal RNA, 278 nt
Filed under: uncultured Pseudomonas sp.
Lineage: Bacteria; Pseudomonadati; Pseudomonadota; Gammaproteobacteria; Pseudomonadales; Pseudomonadaceae
Description: partial 16S ribosomal RNA
Rfam family: Bacterial small subunit ribosomal RNA
Source: RNAcentral